GUCGGUAGCUCAGCUGGAUAGAGCAUUCGCCUUCUAAGCGAACGGUCGUGGGUUCGAACCCCACCCG
RNAcentral lists this transfer RNA (67 nucleotides) under uncultured Limosilactobacillus sp. It matches the Rfam family "tRNA", at positions 5 to 66 of the family's 71-position model. From Rfam's summary of the family: Transfer RNA (tRNA) molecules are approximately 80 nucleotides in length. Their secondary structure includes four short double-helical elements and three loops (D, anti-codon, and T loops). Lineage: Bacteria; Bacillati; Bacillota; Bacilli; Lactobacillales; Lactobacillaceae. The record is from RNAcentral.